Molecule: ribosomal RNA, 1293 nt
Filed under: Staphylococcus aureus
Lineage: Bacteria; Bacillati; Bacillota; Bacilli; Caryophanales; Staphylococcaceae
Description: bacterial SSU rRNA
Rfam family: Bacterial small subunit ribosomal RNA
Source: RNAcentral
GUUCAAAAGUGAAAGACGGUCUUGCUGUCACUUAUAGAUGGAUCCGCGCUGCAUUAGCUAGUUGGUAAGGUAACGGCUUACCAAGGCAACGAUGCAUAGCCGACCUGAGAGGGUGAUCGGCCACACUGGAACUGAGACACGGUCCAGACUCCUACGGGAGGCAGCAGUAGGGAAUCUUCCGCAAUGGGCGAAAGCCUGACGGAGCAACGCCGCGUGAGUGAUGAAGGUCUUCGGAUCGUAAAACUCUGUUAUUAGGGAAGAACAUAUGUGUAAGUAACUGUGCACAUCUUGACGGUACCUAAUCAGAAAGCCACGGCUAACUACGUGCCAGCAGCCGCGGUAAUACGUAGGUGGCAAGCGUUAUCCGGAAUUAUUGGGCGUAAAGCGCGCGUAGGCGGUUUUUUAAGUCUGAUGUGAAAGCCCACGGCUCAACCGUGGAGGGUCAUUGGAAACUGGAAAACUUGAGUGCAGAAGAGGAAAGUGGAAUUCCAUGUGUAGCGGUGAAAUGCGCAGAGAUAUGGAGGAACACCAGUGGCGAAGGCGACUUUCUGGUCUGUAACUGACGCUGAUGUGCGAAAGCGUGGGGAUCAAACAGGAUUAGAUACCCUGGUAGUCCACGCCGUAAACGAUGAGUGCUAAGUGUUAGGGGGUUUCCGCCCCUUAGUGCUGCAGCUAACGCAUUAAGCACUCCGCCUGGGGAGUACGACCGCAAGGUUGAAACUCAAAGGAAUUGACGGGGACCCGCACAAGCGGUGGAGCAUGUGGUUUAAUUCGAAGCAACGCGAAGAACCUUACCAAAUCUUGACAUCCUUUGACAACUCUAGAGAUAGAGCUUUCCCCUUCGGGGGACAAAGUGACAGGUGGUGCAUGGUUGUCGUCAGCUCGUGUCGUGAGAUGUUGGGUUAAGUCCCGCAACGAGCGCAACCCUUAAGCUUAGUUGCCAUCAUUAAGUUGGGCACUCUAAGUUGACUGCCGGUGACAAACCGGAGGAAGGUGGGGAUGACGUCAAAUCAUCAUGCCCCUUAUGAUUUGGGCUACACACGUGCUACAAUGGACAAUACAAAGGGCAGCGAAACCGCGAGGUCAAGCAAAUCCCAUAAAGUUGUUCUCAGUUCGGAUUGUAGUCUGCAACUCGACUACAUGAAGCUGGAAUCGCUAGUAAUCGUAGAUCAGCAUGCUACGGUGAAUACGUUCCCGGGUCUUGUACACACCGCCCGUCACACCACGAGAGUUUGUAACACCCGAAGCCGGUGGAGUAACCUUUUAGGAGCUAGCCGUCGAAGGUGGGACAAA